UACGAAGGGGGCUAGCGUUGCUCGGAAUCACUGGGCGUAAAGGGCGCGUAGGCGGCCAUUCAAGUCGGGGGUGAAAGCCUGUGGCUCAACCACAGAAUUGCCUUCGAUACUGUUUGGCUUGAGUAUGGCAGAGGUUGGUGGAACUGCGAGUGUAGAGGUGAAAUUCGUAGAUAUUCGCAAGAACACCAGUGGCGAAGGCGGCCAACUGGGCCAUUACUGACGCUGAGGCGCGAAAGCGUGGGGAGCAAACAGG
RNAcentral lists this ribosomal RNA (253 nucleotides) under uncultured bacterium. Its description in RNAcentral is "partial 16S ribosomal RNA". It matches the Rfam family "Bacterial small subunit ribosomal RNA", at positions 524 to 776 of the family's 1533-position model. The record is from RNAcentral.